RNAcentral lists this ribosomal RNA (606 nucleotides) under Lysinibacillus sp. RBL15-4. RNAcentral's name for it is "bacterial SSU rRNA". It matches the Rfam family "Bacterial small subunit ribosomal RNA", at positions 64 to 646 of the family's 1533-position model. The record is from RNAcentral. Lineage: Bacteria; Bacillati; Bacillota; Bacilli; Caryophanales; Bacillaceae.
GAGCGAAACAGGAAAAGGAGCUUGCUCCUUUGACGUUAGCGGCGGACGGGUGAGUAACACGUGGGCAACCUACCCUAUAGUUUGGGAUAACUCCGGGAAACCGGGGCUAAUACCGAAUAAUCUCUUUUGCUUCAUGGUGAAAGACUGAAAGACGGUUUCGGCUGUCGCUAUAGGAUGGGCCCGCGGCGCAUUAGCUAGUUGGUGAGGUAACGGCUCACCAAGGCGACGAUGCGUAGCCGACCUGAGAGGGUGAUCGGCCACACUGGGACUGAGACACGGCCCAGACUCCUACGGGAGGCAGCAGUAGGGAAUCUUCCACAAUGGGCGAAAGCCUGAUGGAGCAACGCCGCGUGAGUGAAGAAGGUUUUCGGAUCGUAAAACUCUGUUGUAAGGGAAGAACAAGUACAGUAGUAACUGGCUGUACCUUGACGGUACCUUAUUAGAAAGCCACGGCUAACUACGUGCCAGCAGCCGCGCUCAUACGUGGGUGGCAAGCGUUGACCGGAAUUAUUGGGCGUAAAGCGCGCGCAGGCGGUCCUUUAGUCUGAUGUGAAAGCCCACGGCUCAACCGUGGGAGGGUCAUUUGGAAAACUGGGGGGACUUGAG